RNAcentral lists this transfer RNA (76 nucleotides) under Chlorobiota bacterium. RNAcentral describes it as "tRNA-His". It matches the Rfam family "tRNA". Rfam says of the family: Transfer RNA (tRNA) molecules are approximately 80 nucleotides in length. Their secondary structure includes four short double-helical elements and three loops (D, anti-codon, and T loops). The record is from RNAcentral. Lineage: Bacteria; Pseudomonadati; Chlorobiota.
GGUGCUUGUAGCUCAGUUGGUUAGAGCACCGGAUUGUGGUUCCGGGGGUCGUGGGUUCAAAUCCCAUCAUGCACCC